Molecule: ribosomal RNA, 795 nt
Filed under: uncultured archaeon
Lineage: Archaea
Description: bacterial SSU rRNA
Rfam family: Archaeal small subunit ribosomal RNA
Source: RNAcentral
GGGAUAAACCCGGAAACUGGGUAUAAUACCCGAUAGUCUUGAUUGCUGGAAUGCAUCGAGAUUUAAAGCUCCGGCGCCUAAGGAUGGUCUGCGGCCUAUCAGGUAGUAGUGGGUGUAGCGUACCUACUAGCCUACGAUGGGUACGGGUUGUGAGAGCAAGAGCCCGGAGAUGGAUUCUGAGACACGAAUCCAGGCCCUACGGGGUGCAGCAGGCGCGAAAACUUUACAAUGCUGGCAACAGCGAUAAGGGAACCUCGAGUGCCAGGUUACAAAUCUGGCUGUCGAGAUGCCUAAAAAGCAUUUCAUAGCAAGGGCCGGGCAAGACCGGUGCCAGCCGCCGCGGUAACACCGGCGGCUCGAGUGGUAACCGUUAUUAUUGGGUCUAAAGGGUCUGUAGCCGGCCGGAUAAGUCUCUUGAGAAAUCUGGCAGCUUAACUGUCAGGCUUUCAGGAGAUACUGUCUGGCUCGAGGCCGGGAGAGGUGAGAGGUACUUCAGGGGUAGGGGUGAAAUCUUGUAAUCCUUGAAGGACCACCAGUGGCGAAGGCGUCUCACCAGAACGGACCUGACGGCAAGGGACGAAAGCUAGGGGCACGAACCGGAUUAGAUACCCGGGUAGUCCUAGCCGUAAACGAUACUCGCUAGGUGUCGGCCACGGUGCGACCGUUGUCGGUGCCGUAGGGAAGCCGUGAAGCGAGCCACCUGGGAAGUACGGCCGCAAGGCUGAAACUUAAAGGAAUUGGCGGGGGAGCACCACAACGGGUGGAGCUUGCGGUUUAAUUGGAGUCAACGCCGGG